This 84-nucleotide transfer RNA is filed under the name Cyanobium sp. LEGE 06113. RNAcentral describes it as "tRNA-Leu". It matches the Rfam family "tRNA". Rfam says of the family: Transfer RNA (tRNA) molecules are approximately 80 nucleotides in length. Their secondary structure includes four short double-helical elements and three loops (D, anti-codon, and T loops). Lineage: Bacteria; Bacillati; Cyanobacteriota; Cyanophyceae; Synechococcales; Prochlorococcaceae. The record is from RNAcentral.
GGGGGCAUGGCGGAAUCGGUAGACGCAGCAGACUUAAAAUCUGCAGACCGCUAGGUUGUGGGGGUUCAAGUCCCCCUGCCCCCA